This 374-nucleotide ribosomal RNA is filed under the name uncultured organism. RNAcentral describes it as "partial 16S ribosomal RNA". It matches the Rfam family "Bacterial small subunit ribosomal RNA", at positions 527 to 896 of the family's 1533-position model. The record is from RNAcentral.
GUAGGUGGCAAGCGUUGUCCGGAAUUAUUGGGCGUAAAGCGCGCGCAGGUGGGUUCUUUAAGUCUGAUGUGAAAAGCCCCCGGGCUCAACCGGGGAGGGUCAUUGGAAACUGGGGAACUUGAGUGCAGGAGAGGAAAGUGGAAUUCCACGUGUAGCGGUGAAAUGCGUAGAUAUGUGGAGGAACACCAGUGGCGAAGGCGACUUUCUGGCCUGUAACUGACACUGAGGCGCGAAAGCGUGGGGAGCAAACAGGAUUGGAUACCCUGGUAGUCCACGCCGUAAACGAUGAGUGCUAAGUGUUGGGGGGUUUCCGCCCCUCAGUGCUGCAGCUAACGCAUUAAGCACUCCGCCUGGGGAGUACGGUCGCAAGACUG